This 497-nucleotide ribosomal RNA is filed under the name uncultured bacterium. RNAcentral describes it as "partial 16S ribosomal RNA". It matches the Rfam family "Bacterial small subunit ribosomal RNA", at positions 28 to 507 of the family's 1533-position model. The record is from RNAcentral.
GAUGAACGCUGGCGGCGUGCCUAAUACAUGCAAGUCGAGCGGACGGACGAGAAGCUUGCUUCUCUGAUGUUAGCGGCGGACGGGUGAGUAACACGUGGAUAACCUACCUAUAAGACUGAGAUAACUUCGGGAAACCGGAGCUAAUACCGGAUAAUAUUUUGAACCGCAUGGUUCAAAAGUAAAAGACGUUCUUGCUGUCACUUCUAGAUGGAUCCGCGCUGCAUUAGCUAGUUGGUAAGGUAACGGCUUACCAAGGCAACGAUGCAUAGCCGACCUGAGAGGGUGAUCGGCCACACUGGAACGGAGACACGGCCCAGACUCCUACGGGAGGCAGCAGUGGGGAAUCUUCGGAAAUGGGCGAAAGCCUGACGGACAAACGCGGCGUGAGUGAUGAAGGUCUUCGGAUCUUAAACCUUUGUUAUUGGGGAGGACAAGAUGUGUACGAAAAUGUGCACAUCUUGACGGUACCUAAUCAGAAAGCCACGGCUAACUACGUG